RNAcentral lists this ribosomal RNA (1342 nucleotides) under uncultured prokaryote. RNAcentral describes it as "partial 16S ribosomal RNA". It matches the Rfam family "Bacterial small subunit ribosomal RNA", at positions 28 to 1380 of the family's 1533-position model. The record is from RNAcentral.
AUUGAACGCUGGCGGCAUGGUUAAAACAUGCAAGUCGAACGCGAAAGCACUUCGGUGCAAGUAGAGUGGCGAAAGGGCGAGGAAUAAGUACCUAACGUGCCUUCAGGUAAGGGAUAGCUCAUGGAAACGUGUGGUAAUACCUUAUAAUCUCACUGGUCCAUAUGGACUUUUGGGCAAAGGCUUGCUGCCCUGGGAUCGGGGAACGUGCUAUCAGGUUGUUGGUGAGGUAACGGCUCACCAAGCCUAAGACGGCUAGCGGGUGUGAGAGCACGACCCGCCGCAUCGGGACUGAGACACUGCCCGGACUCCUACGGGAGGCUGCAGUAACGAAUAUUCCGCAAUGCGCGAAAGCGUGACGGAGCAAUGCCGCGUGCAGGAUGAAGCCCCUCGGGGUGUAAACUGCUGUCAGGGUUUAGAAACACAAUGAUCAGACCCAAAGGAAGAGCCGGCUAACUCUGUGCCAGCAGCCGCGGUAAUACAGAGGGCUCAAGCGUUAAUCGGAAUUACUGGGCUUAAAGGGUACGCAGGCGGACCUGUAAGUAUCGUGUGAAAUCCCACAGCUCAACUGUGGAACUGCUCGGUAUACUGUAGGUCUUGAGAUCGGUAGGGGCAAUCGGAACUCUAGGUGGAGCGGUGAAAUGCGUAGAUAUCUAGAGGAACGCCAAAGGCGAAGGCAGAUUGCUGGGCCGAUUCUGACGCUCAGGUACGAAAGCGUGGGUAGCGAACGGGAUUAGAUACCCCGGUAGUCCACGCCCUAAACGAUGUGCACUAGAUCGAGAGAGCUCUGACGUUAGCUCGGUCGAAGGAAAACUGUUAAGUGCACCGCCUGGGGAGUACGGUCGCAAGAUUAAAACUCAAAGGAAUUGACGGGGGCUCACACAAGCGGUGGAGCAUGUGGCUUAAUUCGAAUCAACGCGAAGAACCUUAUCCUGGGAUUGACAUGUAUGAAUUAAUUAUGUGAAAGCAUAAUGACGCAGUUUACUGUGGAACGUCGAUAGGUGCUGCAUGGCUGUCGUCAGCUCGUGCUGUGAAGUGUCGGGUUAAGUCCUUUAACGAGCGAAACCCCUGCCGUUAGUUGCUAACAGGUAAUGCUGAGGACUCUAGCGGGACUGCCGGUGUCAAACCGGAGGAAGGUGGGGAUGACGUCAAGUCCUCAUGGCCUUUAUGUCCAGGGCUGCACACGUGCUACAAUGGCGUAUACAGAGCGACGCGAGACCGCAAGGUGGAGCAAAUCGCAAAAAGUACGCCCCAGUUCGGAUUGGGGUCUGCAACUCGACCCCAUGAAGUUGGAAUCGCUAGUAAUCGCGUAUCAGCUACGACGCGGUGAAUACGUUCCUGAGCC